GCCAGCUGAGUACAUUACAAAGUACAUUGGAUUGUGGAAUCAAAGGAAGCCUGUAGGCUAGCUGGCG
Molecule: transfer RNA, 67 nt
Filed under: Polyplax asiatica
Lineage: Eukaryota; Metazoa; Arthropoda; Insecta; Psocodea; Polyplacidae
Description: tRNA-His
Source: RNAcentral